CAGUCGCCGCGGGAACACAGAGGGUGCGAGCGUUAAUCGGAUUUACUGGGCGUAAAGCGUGCGUAGGCGGCUUCUUAAGUCGGAUGUGAAAUCCCUGAGCUUAACUUAGGAAUUGCAUUCGAUACUGGGAAGCUAGAGUAUGGGAGAGGAUGGUAGAAUUCCAGGUGUAGCGGUGAAAUGCGUAGAGAUCUGGAGGAAUACCGAUGGCGAAGGCAGCCAUCUGGCCUAAUACUGACGCUGAGGUACGAAAGCAUGGGGAGCAAACAGGAUUAGAUACCCCAGUAGUCCCUGUCUCUUAUAC
RNAcentral lists this ribosomal RNA (301 nucleotides) under uncultured bacterium. Its description in RNAcentral is "partial 16S ribosomal RNA". It matches the Rfam family "Bacterial small subunit ribosomal RNA", at positions 509 to 807 of the family's 1533-position model. The record is from RNAcentral.